Molecule: long non-coding RNA, 1415 nt
Organism: Galeopterus variegatus (Sunda flying lemur)
Lineage: Eukaryota; Metazoa; Chordata; Mammalia; Dermoptera; Cynocephalidae
Exons: 2
Source: RefSeq, a predicted model, not a curated record
CCCCGGCCCCCGACCGCACAGACACUCACUAAACGGGGCCUUUCCAUCGGGCUCCACAAAAUUACUUGGGUCCGGCCGGCCUGUUGCCUCACACUGGCCAGAGCGGGUGGGGGACCAGAAUGAAGGAAUUCCGCUGCAGCGACUUGAUUUUCCAUCCCCUGAGCAGAAAGGCUCCGUUGCUCAUCCCCAGGAUCACAGGAGACAAUCAUAUCUGGAUAGGCUUGGAUUGGUCCUGGAGGCCACACGGGUGCUGCUAACUGGUGUGCCAGUGGCCAGGAGAGGGCCUGGCCCUCAGCACCCGUCCCUGUCCCACAUCUCCUCUGGCACUGGGAGCUUGAGGCCCACAACUGAAAACUGCAGCAGUCUGGCCAUCUGCCCUCACCUGCCCACUGCAACUGGGUCCCAAAUGAAGAUCUCUACCUGUCCCACCCAAGACAGAGGCUGGACAGUGGCUGCCACGUGCCCCCUGUGAUUGCCAACAGCCAGGGCCUGAUGGCUUGCUUCCUCAUGCCAAGUCUGAUGGGAAUCCCGAUCCUGCUGGCCCCCCUCAUCCACCCCAGCCCUGUCCAUCCAGGACCACCUCUGGGAGUCUGUCGGCCUGCUGACUCCAUCCACAGAUCUCCAGGGGCAGCCUCUGAGGGACAAGAGUGACACAGGGCUGGAGGAAAGAAGAGGAGGAGCCAGGGGCCUCCUUGGGUCUGAUACACAACUGAGCCCCUUUCAAAACCUGGUCUCACCCUGUUGGUGACUGGCUCCCCAGCUCCAGCCUCUUCCUGGUCCAGCCAGGAAGGGAGGAAGAAGUCUCUUCACUGCGAGUGCAUGUGCAAGCGCAAGCGCAUGCGUGGAGCAGGCGGAGCUGCUCUGGGUGCCAAGCCCUCCCUGUACCUGGGCCUGGGGCCUAGGAAGCUGCUUCCCUACAGGGAGAAAUGUGUGUCCAGCCUCAGUGGCCCCUGCCCUCAGAGGCCCCCCACUGCAGGGAAGCCCCACCCCUCCGGAAGUCCGGAGGGGCACCUGGCAAGCCCGUGGCUGUGGCUAUCUUGGCCCAAAGGGACUGGCCAGAGGAGGGGCAGUGAUGAAUCCUGAGCAUUGUGUCCCUGCCACUGCUUUUCUUAGGGGUUCUGCCUUGCGUAUUAGCCGCUUCUGCUUUCCACCUCCCCUUCCUGCCGCUUUCUCUCCCCCACAGGGCCCUUGCUGCCUGCUGGGGUCUCCAUGCACUUUAUUUAUUUGCAGUCUGUUUUCCAGGCGGUGGAGCUUCUGCAAAUUCAGAUACUGACCUGAAUGGCGUUUACUGUUCUGUGUGUGAUUAACUCUGUACUGCUCAGCACUGUCUGGUCACAGAAAUGUUGUUUCUGGUGUUGUCACUUCUUGUUGUAUCUCUAAGUUACAAAUAAAGUGCUUGGGUUCCAUGCACUACA